RNAcentral lists this unclassified non-coding RNA (288 nucleotides) under uncultured fungus. Its description in RNAcentral is "partial contains 5.8S rRNA and ITS2". The record is from RNAcentral. Lineage: Eukaryota; Fungi.
AACGCAACUGACUCCUGUUUACCGUCAUGCCUAUUUCAGUUAGCCUAGAGAGCAAACUAUCAUUGUAAAAUAUAAUGCGAUUGAGGUACAUUUAUGUUCUUCUUUCGUUAAAUAUGAAGGUGUGAAAGAUGAGUAAUCUCUGACACUGUCAAACGAAGUAGUCAUGCUUGUUCGUGAUCUCGUUUAACCAGUGCUAAAGGUUUUUGCUUAGCUAUAAAUCACAUCUAAUCAAUAAAAUAACUCCAAAUUUGGCAUAUGAAAUCAGACAAGCAUACACGAUGAAAUUAA